GCAAGUCGAGGGGUAACAGGGAGUGCUUGCACUCUGCUGACGACCGGCGCACGGGUGCGUAACGCGUAUGCAACCUACCUUUUACAGGGGGAUAGUCAAGAGAAAUUUUGAAUAAUACCCCAUACGAUCCUGAUAUCACCUGAUAUUUGGAAGAAAACUUCGGUGGUAAAAGAUGGGCAUGCGUCCUAUUAGUUAGUUGGUGAGGUAACGGCUCACCAAGACAGCGAUAGGUAGGGGUCCUGAGAGGGAGAUCCCCCACACUGGUACUGAGACACGGACCAGACUCCUACGGGAGGCAGCAGUGAGGAAUAUUGGACAAUGGAGGCAACUCUGAUCCAACCAUGCCGCGUGCAGGAAGACUGCCCUAUGGGUUGUAAACUGCUUUUAUACAGGAAGAAACCUACUUACGUGUAAGUAGCUGACGGUACUGUACGAAUAAGGAUCGGCUAACUCCGUGCCAGCAGCCGCGGUAAUACGGAGGAUCCAAGCGUUAUCCGGAAUUAUUGGGUUUAAAGGGUCCGUAGGUGGUUUGCUAAGUCAGAGGUGAAAUCCUACCGCUUAACGGUAGCACUGCCUUUGAUACUGGCAAACUUGAGUUAUUGUGAAGUAGUUAGAAUGUGUAGUGUAGCGGUGAAAUGCAUAGAUAUUACACAGAAUACCGAUUGCGAAGGCAGAUUACUAACAAUAUACUGACACUGAGGGACGAAAGCGUGGGUAGCGAACAGGAUUAGAUACCCUGGUAGUCCACGCCGUAAACGAUGGUCACUAGCUGUUUGACUAACAUUGGUUAGUUGAGUGGCUAAGCGAAAGUGAUAAGUGACCCACCUGGGGAGUACGCUCGCA
Molecule: ribosomal RNA, 843 nt
Filed under: uncultured marine bacterium
Lineage: Bacteria
Description: bacterial SSU rRNA
Rfam family: Bacterial small subunit ribosomal RNA
Source: RNAcentral